RNAcentral lists this unclassified non-coding RNA (337 nucleotides) under soil metagenome. RNAcentral's name for it is "partial contains 5.8S ribosomal RNA, internal transcribed spacer 2, and large subunit ribosomal RNA". The stretch from base 1 to 120 matches the Rfam family "5.8S ribosomal RNA", at positions 35 to 154 of the family's 154-position model. The record is from RNAcentral.
GAUGAAGAACGUAGCUAAAUGCGAUAAGUAGUGUGAAUUGCAGAAUUCAGUGAAUCAUCGAAUCUUUGAACGCACAUUGCGCCCCUUGGUAUUCCAUGGGGCAUGCCUGUUCGAGCGUCAUUUGUACCUUCAAGCUCUGCUUGGUGUUGGGUGUUUGUCUCGCCUCUGCGUGUAGACUCGCCUCAAAACAAUUGGCAGCCGGCGUAUUGAUUUCGGAGCGCAGUACAUCUCGCGCUUUGCACUCAUAACGACGACGUCCAAAAGUACAUUUUUACACUCUUGACCUCGGAUCAGGUAGGGAUACCCGCUGAACUUAAGCAUAUCAAUAAGCGGAGGA